UACGUAGGUGGCAAGCGUUGUCCGGAUUUACUGGGCGUAAAGAGCGCGUAGGCGGUCGGAUAAGUCGGAUGUGAAAGCCCCCGGCUCAACUGGGGAGGGUCAUUCGAUACUGUUCGACUCGAAGGCAGGAGAGGGAAGUGGAAUUCCCGGUGUAGUGGUGAAAUGCGUAGAUAUCGGGAGGAACACCGGUGGCGAAGGCGGCUCUCUGGGUCGUACCUGACGCUGAGGCGCGAAAGCGUGGGGAGCGAACGGG
RNAcentral lists this ribosomal RNA (253 nucleotides) under uncultured bacterium. Its description in RNAcentral is "partial 16S ribosomal RNA". It matches the Rfam family "Bacterial small subunit ribosomal RNA", at positions 524 to 776 of the family's 1533-position model. The record is from RNAcentral.